GAUGAAGAACGUAGCGAAAUGCGAUAAGUAGUGUGAAUUGCAGAAUUCAGUGAAUCAUCGAAUCUUUGAACGCACAUUGCGCCCCUUGGUAUUCCAUGGGGCAUGCCUGUUCGAGCGUCAUUUGUACCUUCAAGCUCUGCUUGGUGUUGGGUGUUUGUCUCGCCUCUGCGUGUAGACUCGCCUCAAAACAAUUGGCAGCCGGCGUAUUGAUUUCGGAGCGCAGUACAUCUCGCGCUUUGCACUCAUAACGACGACGUCCAAAAGUACAUUUUUACACUCUUGACCUCGGAUCAGGUAGGGAUACCCGCUGAACUAAAGCAUAUCAAUAAGCGGAGGA
RNAcentral lists this unclassified non-coding RNA (337 nucleotides) under soil metagenome. Its description in RNAcentral is "partial contains 5.8S ribosomal RNA, internal transcribed spacer 2, and large subunit ribosomal RNA". The stretch from base 1 to 120 matches the Rfam family "5.8S ribosomal RNA", at positions 35 to 154 of the family's 154-position model. The record is from RNAcentral.